Molecule: ribosomal RNA, 481 nt
Filed under: uncultured bacterium
Lineage: Bacteria
Description: partial 16S ribosomal RNA
Rfam family: Bacterial small subunit ribosomal RNA
Source: RNAcentral
GACGAACGCUGGCGGCGUGCUUAACACAUGCAAGUCGAGCGAUGAAGUUUUUUCGGAAAUGGAUUAGCGGCGAACGGGUGAGGAACACGUGAAGAAUCUGCCCUCCACUUUGGGAUAACACAGGGAAACCUGUGCUAAUCCAGAAUAUUGAAACAUAAGUGGCAUCACUGAGUUUUGAAAGAAUUUCGGCGGAGGAUGACUUCGCGGCCUAUCAGCUAGUUGGUGAGGUAAUGGCUCACCAAGGCAACGACGGGUAGCCGGCCUGAGAGGGCGACCGGCCACACUGGGACUGAGACACGGCCCAGACUCCUACGGGAGGCAGCAGUGGGGAAUAUUGGGCAAUGGAGGAAACUCUGACCCAGCGACGCCGCGUGCGGGAUGAAGGCCUUCGGGUUGUAAACCGCUUUCAGUAGGGAAGAAGCGAAAGUGACGGUACCUACAAAAGAAGCACCGGCUAACUAUGUGCCAGCCGCCGCAGUAA